CCUGUGGCAGAGUAUUCGGUG
This 21-nucleotide microRNA is filed under the name Cordylochernes scorpioides. The record is from RNAcentral. Lineage: Eukaryota; Metazoa; Arthropoda; Arachnida; Pseudoscorpiones; Chernetidae.